GGCGUGUUGGUCAAGAGGUUAAGACACCGCCCUUUCACGGCGGGAUCAUGGGUUCGAUUCCCGUACACGUCACCA
Molecule: transfer RNA, 75 nt
Filed under: Neglectibacter sp. 59
Lineage: Bacteria; Bacillati; Bacillota; Clostridia; Eubacteriales; Oscillospiraceae
Also listed under: 2 other names
Description: Neglecta sp. 59 tRNA-Glu
Rfam family: tRNA
About the family: Transfer RNA (tRNA) molecules are approximately 80 nucleotides in length. Their secondary structure includes four short double-helical elements and three loops (D, anti-codon, and T loops). Further hydrogen bonds mediate the characteristic L-shaped molecular structure. tRNAs have two regions of fundamental functional importance: the anti-codon, which is responsible for specific mRNA codon recognition, and the 3' end, to which the tRNAs corresponding amino acid is attached (by aminoacyl-tRNA synthetases). tRNAs cope with the degeneracy of the genetic code in two manners: having more than one tRNA (with a specific anti-codon) for a particular amino acid; and 'wobble' base-pairing, i.e. permitting non-standard base-pairing at the 3rd anti-codon position.
Source: RNAcentral